GGGGACAUGGUCUAGUGGUAUGACGGAUCCUUAGCAUGUUAGUCGCUCCGGCUUCUACAACAUGGAUCAGGUCCGGGGUUCGAUUCCCCGUGUCUCCA
This 98-nucleotide transfer RNA is filed under the name Ceratocystis platani. It matches the Rfam family "tRNA". Rfam says of the family: Transfer RNA (tRNA) molecules are approximately 80 nucleotides in length. The record is from Rfam by way of RNAcentral. Lineage: Eukaryota; Fungi; Ascomycota; Sordariomycetes; Microascales; Ceratocystidaceae.